Long non-coding RNA from Bombus impatiens (common eastern bumble bee), 1070 nucleotides. RefSeq lists it as uncharacterized. NCBI's taxonomy places the organism in Eukaryota, Metazoa, Arthropoda, Insecta, Hymenoptera, Apidae. The record is from RefSeq and is a predicted model, not a curated record. The transcript is spliced from 2 exons.
UCGGCUAUCAUCGCGAGGCCGCGAUUUCGAUACGAAGCGGCCUGACGCGAGGACGAACGGAAGCGAAAGAAAACGCACCCCGACCAACGAUUUCGCGUUUCAAAGUCGAGCGAAAUCGUUUGUACGGUUGUUUUGUUGAUCGUUGUCUGUAUAGCGGCGCGUAUCCUUUCGCGUUCGGUCGCGUUUGCCUCUUGUUGUUCGAUCGUUUGUUUCACCGAAGACGGCAAAGGAUAGAGAUCACGGAUCGUUGUAUCGUACGGACACCGUGUCUAAACGUACGCGAUUUUAUUGGUGCAACGAAUCGGCGUUGUUUUCCGGCUCGACACGCCGCGCUACGACAAACUGCGACAGGAUACGCGAGGCGUUGCGUUCAAUCGCCGUUUUGUAAAUAGAGAGAAACGAUGUGUGCGAAGAAACGAUAGAACAAAGUGUCUUGCUAACACGACGCUAAAGGGAAACGGACGGAAUCGAAGAGCGUGACACGCGACGAAGAUUAUUCUUCGGAGAAAAUCGCAGACUAACCCGCGUCUCGACCGUUUCCGCCAGCCAUCGCAUCGAUUCCGAAUUUCGGCGACUGUCACUCGUUAGCGUGAUCGAGCUCUUCGAUUUCCGGCUGGUUUUCAGCGAUAUGCGUGAAAUUUUAUGCCAAGGACACAAGGAUGCGCGCGUGAAAAGUGCAACAGAGAGCGUGAAAGAGCGUGUGUGUGUGUGUGUGUGUGUGUGUGUGCGUGUGUGUAAAGGAGAGAAAGAGAACGAGUGGCAGAAGUACGAGAGAAGAGGAAAGAAAGGUAGAGAGGCCGACGACGAAAAGCAUGUAAAGAUCGUACGCAAAUCACGCGUAAUACGCAUAGGAUGAAUCGAAUCGAAACGAAACGUAAAAACGAUCACGAAUGCGCGCAAACUGUAAACAGCUCCUCCUUCUCCCUGUAUAUUAUUAUAAUUAAACAUUAAUUAUUAUUAACGUAAAAUAAAGAUCUGGCGAAUGGUGGUGACGUUUUGUUAGAAUGGCAGAAACUAAAUUACUACUGAAUUUUAAUUAAUAAACAACAUGAAAGUAAUACAACAACGUA